RNAcentral lists this long non-coding RNA (7436 nucleotides) under Triticum aestivum (bread wheat). RNAcentral describes it as "long non-coding RNA (TAES_LNC024040)". Lineage: Eukaryota; Viridiplantae; Streptophyta; Magnoliopsida; Poales; Poaceae. The record is from RNAcentral.
UUUUUUUGAGUAACACCUUUUCUGUGGCUGUGAAUUUAAAUUUACAGAGUUAAGGAGAAAAGGGAGAGCCCUCCAGCGCAGCCCACCUAGGCCUUCCCCACUCAAGCAAUAGCCCAGCCAGCCCACAUGGGGAGCUCCUAUACAGCGUUGUAAGCGCUGAUUCGCCCUGCUGGCGCCUACAUGGUCGCGAAAUGGGCCGGCCCAGGAAAUGCAGCGAGGUUGUUAGAUCGCAAAAAAUGCUGGGAAAUACGGUAGAUCGAGGAUUCGAUCUCUGACCACCACUGCGAUAACAUUCAAACACAACCACUCGGCUGAACACCGUACAAUAAUUAUUUUGAGGACAAACAGCCCUUAUUAUAUACCCAGCCUGUUACGCAUAUUAUUUUUUAUAAUAAAAUAAAAAUAAAAAUGAAUGCACAAUAUAAAAAACGUGAGUUUCAAGAAAGUUCAUAAAAAAUGGAAAAAGGUUCGUACAAACUGAAAAAAUGUGAAUUUGAGAAAACUUCACGAAUUUGAUAAAAGUUCCCAAAAUUUAGAAUACAGUUCAUGAAAUUUCAAAAAAAUUUCAUCGAUUUUGAAAAUAGUUCACUGAUUUUGAACAAAUGUUCACCAAUUUAGAAAAGUUCAUCAACUUUGAAUAAAAAAGUUCAUCAAAUUUGAAAAAAUAGUUCACCGAUUUUGAAAAAAGUUCACCAACUUAGAAAAAGUUCAUCAAAAUUGAAAAAAAGUUCAUCGAUUAUAAAAAAAGUUCAUCAAAAUUGAAAAAAGGUUCAUCGAAUUUGAAAAAGUUCAUAGAAUUUCAAAAUAGUUCAUCGUUUUUUAAACAAAAUCAUCAAAUUCAAAGUGGUGCAGGGGAACCUGGUCGUACAAAAAGGAAAAACCAGAAAAAAAAAAGGAAAAGGGAAAAGGAAAAAAAGGAAAAGGAGAGAAUAAAGGAGAUGGAAGGUUGUAACUUAAUAGAACUAACUACGCGGCGGGGUGGUAACACAAACAUGUUGCGACGAUCGACGUCCCAUGUUAGAUUCACAACCUUCUUCUUCUUCAUUUUUUGCGUUCCAAAAACAUAGAAGAAGAAAAAAGCCCGAGGAACUUCUACACGGGCCCGCCCAGCAAGGGGCGCUGCAGGCGCCAGUUUGCGAAAUACAUUCAAAGGGGCGCCUGCAGUGCUAAAUAGGAAACGCCGCCCACACGUACAGGAGCAUCUUCAACCUCCUAUACGGCAGAGCAUCCAAGAGGGCACGUCGACACCUCCUCUGAUUUGACGACCGGAGUCGUCCCUAGACCUCUAUAAGAUCACCCUGGUGCCCUAGACCUCCUCCUCCCUCCAUUCCUCCCUCCUCUUCCUCCUACCACCGCAAAGGUAAGCCACCCACGCACCCGCCGUCGCCAUGGCCGAGCCGAGCUCAAGCUCGAGCCCGGCUUGACCCGGGCCGCCUCCGUCCUCCUCUCGGUGCAAGAGUUGCCAUGACGACCUCCGCCACCAGUACCUUCACCUCACGGUCCGGGAGCUCCUUCCCCGAUGUCCUCUCUGUAGUCUUCUUCCUCGGGCCAAACCGUCGCCGCCAGCCUUCUUCUUCCUCUGGAGCGACCCCUCGCACGACCUCCCCGAGCCGGAUCGCCAAGUCCAGUGCCCCGUCGCCGUCGCCGUCUUCUUCCCCUGCUUCCUCUUCUUCACAGAGCCGAGCACCGCCUCGAUCAGCGCAUCCUCCCACCGUGUCUGAUCUCCGUCGACCUUGUAUGACUCCACCAGCACCCCCAUAGUGAAGCUCCGAUCCUCCCCAUCUCUCUCCGGUUCAAUUCCGUCACCAUAGUCAUCUUCCCAAGCCUGCCUAUUUUAUAUCCGCCAUGGGAGAGUUUCUGGAACUCACCUCGCAUGCUCCUGCACACUCCCGCAUGCACUCUGCCCUCUACGUUCGCGCUCACACACAAUACCAACGCACAGUAGCCGUAGAGCACCAACCACGCGGCUCCGGUCGUCUUCUUCUCCAUGUCCGGGAUGAAUUGCAGCUCUUGCCGAAUGCCUGCAUGCCCCACCGAUCGAGGCCAUGGCUGAGCGCCCCCACCUGCAAGACCAACCCUUUCUCUUUGUUAUUUGCUCCGCUUGGGUUCAGAUCCGAUGUACAUCUUCAGCGAGUCCACCUGCAUCACAAACACCCUCGCGACCAUCCUUGCUACAACCACGCAUGCACCUGCAUGCAUCCAAGCACACGUCAUCUCCAGUCCAGCUAGGGCUGCCAUGGCCGAGAGCAUCGAGCCCAGGGGCAUUCCCACCUAUUUAGGCCAAGCACAUGCGCGUUCCAUGGCUGCUACCUUCUUAGGUUUCCGCAAGCCGGCUGCUGUCCGGUAGCUUCAAUCUUCGCUGUGUUGCUCGCUUUUGACGCCGGCGAGCCAUGACUCUAAAGGCCCGGCCUUCUGUAGUUCGUCCAGUAAAUAGUCUUCCUAUCCUGUACACAGACGCUUCACAGCUCAGCUGGUCACCUCCAGCGCUCCAUAUCCAGGGCGCCUUCAAUUUUUGCUCUGUUAUUUUUCUUCUCUCUGCACACACACUCGCACUUGGGCCAAAUCCUCCAGGGCCUCUGCCACUGUUUUAGAUUCGGCCCGAUGAUAUUUUUUCCCGUCUCUGCGAUUUUGUCAAUAAACCUGUUAUUGCAUAGCAAUACCAGGAAAUGCCAUUAAAAUUGCAUUGCUCAUAUCUAAAUAUCCAUGCAUGCAUCAUAAUAAACCAUGUCAUAUAUGUAAAAUGAUUAGAAUUUCAUCUACUUUCAUAAUAUGCUCCCUUCAUCCAUGUAAAAAAUGUUUAAAUGUGAUGUUUGAAUUAAUUUGCAUAAAUGACAUGUUAAAACGGCUUAUUUCAUAAUUAAAUAACCGUAGCACCCAAUUAAUAAACUGUAUAUGUAUUCAGGGUAGAAAGAUGUGUAGAUAAACAUGGUGCACUUACUUUGCAUAUUUAACAACAUUAAAACUGUGGUUUAGGGCAGAACAGUACCAAAUUCGAAAUUUGCAUAUGGGGACAUUUCAGAAUUGUUUGUUUUUUCGGACUCAUUUAAACUUUCUUUGAUGUGGGGUUCUUUCAUGCAUCGUCUCUUGCCAUGAGUAACAACAUUUAACCUUGUCAUGCAUCAUGCUUGAUUGUGCAUCAUGUCUUGUCAUGCUUGUUUGUUUACCGUGUUGUUUGCUUCUUUCCGGUUGUGCUUAUUCACAAUAGUUCCGAUGUCAUUGUGAUUGUGAGGAUGUGUUCGACUACGUUGGCUCGUCUACUUCAUGGACUCGAUCUUCUUCCGAGCGGGAUUUCAGGCAAGAUGACCAUUACCUUGGAUAUCACUACUAUCUUUGCUUUGCUAGUUGUCUCGAUGCUAUCGCUAUGUCGCGCUACCUACCACUUGUUUGUCAAGCCUCCCAAAUUGCCAUGAUAAGCCUCUAACCUUUUCCACCUUCCUAGCAAACCGUUGUUUGGCUAUGUUACCGCUUGCUCAGCCCUUCUUAUAGCAUUGCUAGUUGCAGGUGCAGUUGCUGGUUGUUCCAUGUUGGGACAUGGAUAUCAUGGGAUAUCACAAUAUCUCUUAUUUAAUUAAUGCAUAUAUAUAUUUGGUAAAGGGUGGAAGGCGUAGCCUUUUGCUUGGUGUUUUGUUCCACUCUUGCCACUCUAGUUUCCGUCAUACCGGUGUUAUGUUCCUUGACGAGCGCUCCUAACACAUGUGGGUGUAUGGGAACCCCAUGUCCAUUCGCUUUGGUUUAAACUCCUCCAGCAAGGCCCAACUUGGUUUUAAUUUGCCUAAUAACAACUAAAACUUGCAUAGCGACUUUUCUGGACCCCGUGGAUAAUUAAUCAACAAACCGGGCCACUGCUCGUCAUGAGUGUUUGUCCAUCUACCUAGUAGUCGGCGGUGCCGCCUUGGGGCAACUCGAUGGCAUUUUGGCUAUCGUCCACUUUGCAUAGACGAUGUGGUCCUGAGAACGAGAUACGCGUGGCUCCUAUCGGGGUGACGACACACCGGGUGGUCUUGCUGGUUUAGUUUUGCCUUUGCUGAGAUGCUUGUCCAUCGAAAUUCCUUAUCGUAAGCAUUGUGUUCUUCAUGGUGUGAGGAUGUCCCAUCGGAUGCGCGUGGAAUUUAUAAUGGACCACUUGGAGCAACCCUGCAGGGUUAAACCUUUUCGGAAGUCGUGGUCGCGGUUAUGUGGCAUAUUGGAAAUUUAUAAUAUCCGGUUGUAGAGAACUUGACACCAGAUCCGAAUUAAAAUACACCAACCUCGUGCGUAACCAUGACCGUCUCUUUUCGAGUGAGUUCGAGAAGAGAACACGGUGGGGUUAUGUUUGACUCGUAAGUAGUUAAGGAUCACUUGUUGAUCAUUACUAGUUUGAGACCGUCAUGCGUAGUUACUCUUCUUAUUCUUGUACUCAUAAGUUAGCCACCAUACAAUGCUUAGUGCUGCUGGAACCUCACCACUUAUCCAUUCCACACCCAUUAAGCUUUGCUAGUCUUGAUACCCAUGGUAAUUGGAUUGCUGAGUCCUCGUGGCUUACAGAUUACUACAACAACAGAUGCAGGUACAUGUAAUGUGAUGAUAUGACGUGGGAGCUAUGCUUCCUUGUUUUGGAGUUCUUCUUCUGCUUCUUCUUUUCUUCUCCGAUCGAGUGAUAGGUUCCUGGUCGGCAGCCUGGGCUAGCAGGGUUGAUGUCGUUUGAGUUUUCAUUUGUGUUUCAUCCGUAGUCAGAUGCUGCUCUUCUGUAUGAUGUUUGAUGUAUUCAUGGGGCGUUUGUAUGCCUUUGUAUGUAUCCCCAUCUAUUAUGUAUAUGGUACGAUGUAAUGAUACCCACCUUGCAAAGCGUCUUCAAUAUGCUACUUUAUCCUUGGUGGGCCUCCGAGUUUUUCUCGGAUUGGAUCGCAUAUUGGGCGUGACAAGUUGGUAUCAGAGCCUCGACCGACCAUAGGAGCCCCCUUGAUUGAUCGUAGUUUGGCCGUUGUCUAGUCUAGAAGAAAAAGUAUUUUAGAGUCUAGUUAUAUCGGAGAGUAGGAAUUCUUUUUACUCUUUAUCCCCUUCGCCGCUCUGGUUAGGAUUUGUGACGUAGGUGUUUGAUUCUACUACUCUUCCCCUUCAAAUUUUGUUUAGGAUCACGCGGUUAUUUUUUCAAUCGUUGCAACGUCAACUCUUUUUUCAACCGGUGAACUUCUCCUCAAGCUAUUUAGAUCCUAUUCAUCUUUGCAAGAUCAACUUUUUUCUUUUCUCAAUGAUGUCGUUUCCCGUCCCAAGGUGUUUUCUUUUCCCACCCACCCGCCAUUUUUCUUCACGGUAUCCGAAGUAUCGAAUCGAGUAUCCAUUUUGUUCGUGCGAAGCCUCUUCAUUCUUUCCUCAAUUGUCUCAAUCUAGGAAUUCUCGUCUAGUUCAUCAUUGUUCGUCUCAUUUUGUUUUCCGGUGGAUUCAGUUCAAGUUUUUCAGAUUGAUCAUAUUCCUGUUCUUGGCCAAAUGUUUCCCCUUGCGUGUUCGCCUCUCAAAAUUUAAUCAUUCUGGAGUGUUGAAGACAUCUCAGAAGAUUCGUUCUUAUGUUCAAUUAAUUCAAGGUGGUAAACUCAUACAAGUCUUUCAAAUGUUCUGGUGCAUCAUCUCUCUUCUUUAAUCGUUUUCAACGGUGUUUCUUUUCAGUGGGCCCAUAACCCAUGGGUUUUUCCCCGGGAUCUUACCUGACUCUUCUAAUUUUUCUAGAGUGUUCACAAAUUCUUCCAAGUUCGACGUCAGGAUGAGUCCUUUUCAGUCGAUUCUCUUCUUCGGGUUUUCGUUCAUUUCCUUUCAUUUUCACCUUCCACUCUCUCUUAUGUUUCGUUCCUAAGAUCUCGGGACGAGAUCUUCUGUUAGUGGGGAGUGUUGUGACGCCCCGAGAUUGCUGCUCUAGUUGUCUUCCAUUUAUUUCCGUUGCCCUCGUGUGUUUCAAUUGUUUGUUGCCAUGAUCAUGUUGAGUGCAUUGUCAUAUAUUUUGUUCUUGCAUCAUGUGCAUCAUUGUUAUUAUUGCAUUGCCAUUCUUAUCAUGGAUCAUAAUGCAUAGGCAUACUUGCUGGUUGUUUUUGUUGUGUGCUUGAGUGUGUGAUCAACCCCUGCAUUGUCUCUUUCUCAACUCCAUGUUCUUCUACUCCCACAACCUUGCUUGAUCAUCUUCUUCUCCUUGUUCUUUAAUCCAUUUAAAUUGUGGUAUUUUAUUUCCUGCCCCAAUUUAAUGUUCAAUCUUUUCCUAUAAAUUUUAGACCAUGCCAUUUACAUCACUGCCAAAUUUCAACUCAUUUGGUGUUGUUUUGGUUAGAUUAAAAAAUGCAUCAAGUUUGCAAUUAAUACAAACUUGAUUUAUUUUUCUAUCUCUAAAAAUACCCAAAGCAAUUUAUUCAAAUUGUGCAUACAUCCAGAAGUCUAGGGGUAUUUGUUUUUCUUCAUUACCCCUCUCCAUUAUCCCUGGCCUUUUCCUUUUCUAUGGCUGUGAAUUUAAAUUUACAGAGUUAAGGAGAAAAGGGAGAGCCCUCCCAGCGCAGCCCACCUGUGCCUUCCCUACUCCAGCAACAACCCAACUAGCCCACACAUACAGGUCAGCCCGGGCGUUCGGUCUUUUCGGUUUGUUUGGUCUGGUCUUUUUGGUCUUUCAAAAAUUCGGUCUUCCAUAAUUGAAGACCAAAAUAAUUUCAGUCUUUUCAGUUGUUCACUAUUCGGUCUUCGGUCUUUACUAUUCGGUCUUCGGUCCCGACCAAACAGACCAAAUAAAUUACUACUCCCUCGGUUCCUAAAUAUUGUAUUUUUAGAGAUUUCAAAUGGACUAUCACAUACGGAUGUAUAUAGACAUAUUUUAGUGUGUAGAUUCACUCAUUUGGCUCCGUGUGUAGUCACUUAUUGAAAUCACUAGAAAGACAAAUAUUAAGAAUGGAUGGAGUAGAACUCAUAUUUAUGUUACUUUCAGGACCUGUUAUAUACAAACUACAUAGAGUACAGAGGUACAUGUGUGUACAAAGGGGUGUGUGUACAGGUCCAUGUGUGUAAAAAGGGGUGCGUGUACAGAGACAACAAAUAUUUGUAUAGAAGAGCAUGUGUUCAUAAGAAAAAUUCAAACAAGGAACACAUGUAUGCAAUCUGCAUGUAAUACAAUACACCACAUGAAAAUCUUCAAAUAGAAAAUCAGCACCAUAUGUAAUCACCACUUCACCAGCAACAAGAUUCAUGCAUGCGUACUCAUUUAUAUUUGACAGCAAAAAGUAAGAUCAAGUAACAUCGGCGCAUGGAAUCGAUAAGAAGCAAACACCAUGAGGGCUUAGUACUUCAACAUAGUAGCUUCUGGAUUGGCACCUUCGACAACUUUUGCUUCAACAUCUUCAUCUUCAAAGAUGCUAUGUAAGACUGAUUCCUCUCCUGCUUCUGCAUCCGCCUCUGCCUCUACACUCACAAAUGCAUCAUCUUUAUUAUUCAAC